CUUACUCUCAGCACAUGAAUCACCG
Molecule: non-coding RNA, 25 nt
Filed under: Cricetulus griseus (Chinese hamster)
Lineage: Eukaryota; Metazoa; Chordata; Mammalia; Rodentia; Cricetidae
Source: RNAcentral